Long non-coding RNA from Bos taurus (domestic cattle), 830 nucleotides. NCBI's taxonomy places the organism in Eukaryota, Metazoa, Chordata, Mammalia, Artiodactyla, Bovidae. The record is from Ensembl.
GUGCACAAAAAAACCCUUAGUUUAAACCAGCCUAUAAGCAGAGAGUGUUGCCCACUAUAGUCUGUCUAUAAAAACUCUGUAACACCUUUGUUAGGGGCUCAGAGCUUGGAGGGUUAACUCCUCUGGGACGGCUGGUGUAAUAAACCUGUUUUCCAACUCUCUGAGUGUGGUGCUUGGAUUCUCGAUUACUGGUUUCUGCAACAUUUCUGGAGGCUCCAGCAAGAUUCCAACCACACCAGCCCCUUGAGCCGCCAGAAAGGUGGCUUGGCCAGGCUGAAGCAAAGGAAUCCUGAGAUGAAUGAGGAGGCGUGCCACCUGAUGGUAUUCCGGGUUCUCUUUCACACUGGUGUUCCAACUUUCUGGAUGGCCGAAUCCUGACUAGACUCUUUGGAGGAAUGGACCAACCCACCAGGAGUGGCCACAGGAUCAGUUACAGGUGUCAUCCCUUGGAUCCACCACACCAGAGUCAAGAAGGCAGCAGCUUCCUGUGAUGAGGACACCUGGAAAGCAGUUCGGGACCCCAAAGACCUCCUCAAGGACCAACAAGACUCCCUGGCUGAGGUGGUUUUAUAGAAUAGGAGAUGUCUAGAUCUACUGACAGCUGAAAAGAGAGGACUACGCCCCUUCUUAAAUGAAGAGUGCUGCUUUUGUAAGAACUAUAUGCUGCUGCUGCUAAGUCGCUUCAGUCGUUUCCAACUCUGCGACCCCAUAGACAGCAACUCACCAAGCUCCCCCGUUUCUGGGAUUCUCCAGGCAAGAACACGGAGUGGGUUGCCAUUUCCUUCUCCAAGAACUAUAUAUCUACAUACAUUUUUUUCAAGCAAGAUGAC